UCCUCUGCGUACGAUUUCCCCCUCCUCUUCUCCGUUUGCCCGAUCGCGAGCCCUCUCCUCUCACCUAUGAUUUCUCUCCCAGUGACGCCGAGCUCGCCACCGUCCGCCGUCGCCCUCACCCAAUUUCUCAUCGUUGUGGACCAUGGAGCUUUGACGCCGAUGAGCUCUAAUCGUCGAUCACCCACCACCGCUAUCGCUCGAUCGUCGGCUGCCCGCGAGCUCACCGUCGAUGGAGGCUUUCUCCUCCAGUUUGCCUCACCACUAUCAAGGCCUCUUGGCUUCUAGAUCGCUCGGUUCAAUCCGCCCUCUCUCCUUCCUCCUUAUCAUCGAUCCAUCGCCAACAUCCUUUGUGUGGUUCCAGAUCGGGAGUCAUACCCUAGCUUUGAUUCAUUGCCGGUGCCACCAUCUUGACCUAGUACCGGUAGCUGCAUCCACCAGAUCCUCUGCUCCGGCCAUCAGAUUCUUGGUUCCGAUUCUUGGUUAGUGUUGGAUCUCUCCUUUUUGCUCUAUAGUGAAGAUCCGACCAAGAUUCCUGUUUCGGCUGGAAUACUCGCAAGUAUUAGCGAUACGAACAUAACCUAAAGAUCAAUGGAAGGAUGUUUGAUUUGGGGAUGAUGAAUAUAAAUGGCAACGACUUCACUUGGUCUCGACCACAGUCUCCAACAGUGGGUUGCUCCGAUUUUGGCUUAUUGAUGGCUCCUAGCACUGCCGACACCAAUAUGUGGACUUGGAUUCGGGACGAGCGUCUCGAUACGGGAUUACUUGACACGAGCUAUAUUUUAAGG
Zingiber officinale is the source of this 785-nucleotide long non-coding RNA. RefSeq lists it as uncharacterized. Lineage: Eukaryota; Viridiplantae; Streptophyta; Magnoliopsida; Zingiberales; Zingiberaceae. The transcript has 3 exons. The record is from RefSeq and is a predicted model, not a curated record.